CAUGGCUCAGAUUGAACGCUGGCGGUAUGCUUAACACAUGCAAGUUAACGGUAGCAGGCCUUCGGGCGCUGACGAGUGGCGGACGGGUGAGUAACGCGUAGGAAUCUGCCUCAUAGUGGGGGACAACGUGGGGAAACUCACGCUAAUACCGCAUACGCCCUACGGGGGAAAGCGGGGGAUCUUCGGACCUCGCGCUAUGAGAUGAGCCUGCGUUAGAUUAGCUAGUUGGUAGGGUAAAGGCCUACCAAGGGCGACGAUCUAUAGUUGGUCUGAGAGGACGAUCAGCCACACUGGGACUGAGACACGGCCCAGACUCCUACGGGAGGCAGCAGUGGGGAAUAUUGGACAAUGGGCGCAAGCCUGAUCCAGCAAUACCGCGUGUGUGAAGAAGGCCUUAGGGUUGUAAAGCACUUUCAAUUGGGAGGAAAACCUGUCGGUCAAUACCCGGCAGCUUGACAUUACCUUUAGAAGAAGCACCGGCUAACUCCGUGCCAGCAGCCGCGGUAAUACGGAGGGUGCAAGG
This 523-nucleotide ribosomal RNA is filed under the name uncultured bacterium. RNAcentral describes it as "bacterial SSU rRNA". It matches the Rfam family "Bacterial small subunit ribosomal RNA", at positions 18 to 539 of the family's 1533-position model. The record is from RNAcentral.